Molecule: long non-coding RNA, 739 nt
Organism: Capsicum annuum
Lineage: Eukaryota; Viridiplantae; Streptophyta; Magnoliopsida; Solanales; Solanaceae
Exons: 3
Source: RefSeq, a predicted model, not a curated record
CAAUUUAGUUGAUACUCAAUAUUAUGUGGCUGUUACAAAUUUAAUGAUUCAUGGACCAUGUGGUACUGCAAGAGUAUCUUCUCUUUGCAUACAAAAUGGCAAAUGUAUAAAGCACUUUCCAAAAAAAUUUGUGGAUUCAACCACAAUUGAUAAUGAAGGGUAUCCUAUCUAUAGAAGAAGGGAUGAUGGAAGAUCUACAAAGAGAGCAGGUGGAUGAGAUUGAAUACAACAUGGUUUGUCAAUUCUAGAAGAAUGACAAAGGAAGUAUUUGGUGUAAGACCAGAUUGUUCUGAAUAUUUUUACUAACUAUAUUAUUGUUUGUUAAUAUACUGAGAAGACUUGAGCACCAUCAGCCUCCCUAUUCUUAUCCUAUGCCGCAACUAUAACUGCCUCUGCUUCAACAACCAUUUGUGCAGCAGAACUGCAACCUCUUAACAUGCCAUCCAUUUCAUCUUAGCGAGAUCUAAAUGUAUUUGAGAUGUAACCAUAAUUAAAUCAUCACAAACAUCUUGGAGAAGAUCCUCUGUCUGCUGUUAAUAAUUGUAAUGGACAGGUUAGUUCCACAGUCAAGAUUCACAAAGUGAUAAUGAAGGAAAGAAAAAUGUGAGUAGGAAACUACAUGUUCAUCUAUAAUUCAUUUUCUUCUAAUUUUAGUUUCAGUCUAUUUUGUAAUGUAUACAAGAUCUUUUAGUUAUGAACAAUUAUUAUAUUAGAUAUUUUUAUAAUGUAAAGAAGAAUA